AUGGGGAAACGGAAUUUGAUUUAUUCCAUUUGUCCCCAGAGGGCAAAGCCAGGCACAAUGAUGUUGGCAAGAAAUUUAAUGCAAAACUACACAAAGUCACUUCUUCCAUUCCAGAACUACAACAGAAGUCAGCCAGAAAUAUAUGGGAAACAAGUAGGAUGGUCCACCAAAAAAGUCAACAUGAGCACAGUCAGGGGUCACUCAAAGAAACAUGUAGCCCACAAAGCUCAAUAUCCAGAGGCUGAUGGUCCCAACCCUGAGAGAGAACUACUCAAUGGAGAACAAAAGACUUACCAGAAUCCCAGUAUUCCUCUGCCUGGAGCCUUCUUUCUCUGUACAACAGACUUCCCCUCAAGCCUGGUAUCAAGGUUUUGGCACAAAAGCUUCUGGCCAAGGCUUCUGUAAAGCUUCAUCCAUUUCCUAUGACCCACAGCCGAGGGGUCACCAGUAACAUGGAAAUAUUAACUAUCAAAAAUAAAUGAAUAAAUGAAUGAAUGAUUGAAUAAAAA
This 509-nucleotide long non-coding RNA is filed under the name Monodelphis domestica (gray short-tailed opossum). RNAcentral's name for it is "lncRNA (ENSMODG00000030347.2)". The record is from RNAcentral. Lineage: Eukaryota; Metazoa; Chordata; Mammalia; Didelphimorphia; Didelphidae.